Aotus nancymaae (Ma's night monkey) is the source of this 134-nucleotide ribosomal RNA. NCBI's taxonomy places the organism in Eukaryota, Metazoa, Chordata, Mammalia, Primates, Aotidae. The record is from Ensembl.
ACAGUCAGACCACCCUGAAGGCACCCCAUCUCUUCUGAUCUUGGAAGCCAAGCAGGGUUGGGCCUGGUUAGAACUUGGAUGGGAGAAGCAAAGCACAGGACAUAUCAUCCUCCUAAGAAAUAUCAGGAUCUUUA